This 7347-nucleotide long non-coding RNA is filed under the name Lactuca sativa (garden lettuce). RNAcentral's name for it is "long non-coding RNA (LSAT_LNC001003)". Lineage: Eukaryota; Viridiplantae; Streptophyta; Magnoliopsida; Asterales; Asteraceae. The record is from RNAcentral.
UUAAUCAUUAAGAUGAUCACAUGACAUGAUACUAAAGUACUCUCCCAUCUUUUCAGAUUUGAGAAAUUUUUAUCCUUCUACCUAAUUUGAUUAUUCUUAUUCGCUCUGCCAUACAUUGGAACCUUUUCCAACGUCUCAAAAUUACACUUAAGUUUGUAAGUAUAACCAUAUUUACUAAGCUUUAGUAAAUUAUGACGAAUAAUCUUCUUGAUCUUUUGUGGUGGACUUGACCAGUGCACAAGAAUGUGUACUAGAUCCCUUAGUCUUUCACUUGACUAACACAUACAUGUGAACAAGGAACUAGUCUUAAUUUUCCAAAGAUGAAAAAUUCUCGUUCAUCAUGCUAUACAACUUGCAUGAUUCCAAGUUUCGGUCCAAUUGAAACUUAAGUGAUGGGGAUCUUUCCUUAUUUGGUAAAUUUAGACAUUACCACAAAUGAAAGAAUCAAUUUCAUAUUUCCACACUUGCUAUUAAUGGAAUCAUAUAAGCAACAAUUUUUUCCUGAAAUGCCAUUGUAAGGAUAUUUUAAAAUAAAUAAAAUCAUCAUUUUUCCUGUUAUUUUAAAAACUUUGCGGAAAACUAUCCUUACAACGCAGAAGAGCAUGAAAACUUUGUUGUUAUCUAUUCCUAAACAAUAUAUCAUAACUCCUAAGAAGUAGCUCAAGAGUCGGAUCUUCAAACUAAGUAAUAGAAAUCCAUCUACGCGAUUAAAUUCAACAUAUUCUUUCUUUAAGUUUUUUCACUUUUUUCUUUGAUUCUUACAAACAUCAACAUGUGACCCAAUCACAUCAUAUAUCAAGAAUCUCAGUAUAGAAACUUAGCAGAGUUAGAUAGUGGAUUUUACCUGAAGGAGGGUCAAACUUAUUGACUUUAACAUCCUUAGGUAAAAUGGGCAGCUUCGCAACUAAUGCCCCUUCCUUUGGCAAUAUAAACAUAUGGACACUUUUGGUAAUGGUACCGGUUCUAUCAUAGACUUAGCAUUUCUCUUUACCAUUUGGUCAACCGAGUUGACUAUGGUCGAUCCCUUUCCAUUGGAAAGAAAAUGCUUUUUCUGGAUUUCCAGUGUCACCAUUUUCAAUGUCCAUAUAGUUUUGGGAAGUCGAUCUUCUAAUCAGAUUUGCUUUACUAGCCUUCAAAAUCAUUGUUGAUUUAGCAGCACCAAGCAAAUAGAUAAGAUCAUUAAGAGUCUUGUCCUAGUCUGUUUCAUAGGAGUCCCAAAGGAACUCACUAUUCGACUUAGAAAGUGAUUGAACCACUAACUUUCUUAAGACUUUGACACCUAACUCUCCCGGCUUGUCAGUAUGUGACUUCAUCUCCAAGAUGUGAUCACACCUUGACCUUGUCUUGCCAAUAGGGCUUGAGUGACCUUGAACUUGUGGGUUAGGGAGAAUAAAUGGAGGAUGUGGAGGAAGUGAUGUUCCAAGAGAUUUGGGAAUAUCAUAGAUGUCUGAACUUAGACAUCUUAUGGAAGAUAUUCAAGAUAGUUGAUUUAAAGUCCUUAAUAUAACACCCAAUAUGAAAUAUUAAAGCUAGGACCCAACAAACUAUUUUAUAACUUAGAAGAGGGAUGCCGUAAUCCAAGCUAUAGAAUAUUUGAAGGUAGGUGAAUGACGAUUCAUCAAUUUCCACCAUGAAAAACGAAAUAAUUUAUUAGGUUUUAUUUGGAUUUGAAACUGCUAGAUCUUUUGAGAUUCAUUGAUCUUUUCAAAGGCAUGUUUCAAUCUCGAGUAUGCCCUUUAGGUUUUGUGAGUGGGAUGCCGAGGAUCAUAAAACAAGGUGUGAAGUAACCAUGCAAAUUACUUGGUACUCUUAAAUCUUUAUCACCCAACCGAUCUGCCGGUAAACCACACACGCUCCACCGGCCUAUGAUAAACUUUAAGAAACCCUUUGCCUACCUUGUUAAAUCAAGCUAGUGUGUCGGUAAACCACACGCGCUCCACUAACCGACUUAAGAAAAGUGCAAAGUGUAAUUUCAUGGGUUUGCACCUUAUUCAUAUUUUCCUAAGUAACUAAGACUGUGAAUUUUUAACUGUUUAGUUACUUAGUAUUUUUUAUAAAUACUUUUAAUGAAGGGAGAAUUAUAGUCCUUAUCCUACCCAUUCAGCUGACGACCCUCCAGCAGUCAAGGAAGCGGUGGGUGAGAGUGGACACCCAUUAAACUACCAUUUUAUACGCAGUAACCUUAUACCCCCUUAUAGACCAGCUUCGUGAAUGAGGCAUAGUAACGGUAAGACUGACUUUACUGUUAUAUAUAUAUAUACUUAUAAUUAUAUAAAGUAUAAGGGUUGAAUUUUAACUUUUAAAAUUCUAAGGGCUAACUUGGAAUUAAAGUAUUCAUAAGUGAAAACUUUUCAAAUUCCAAAACUUGAGGGCAAGUUUUGAAACUAUUCAAAACUAAUUAAUUCCAUAACUUAUGUGUUUAAAGUAGUUUUAAUCCAAAAACUCUUCAAGUUCCAUAACUUGAGGACAAGUUAUGGAAGACUUUAAACUAAUAAAAGAAUUUAACUUUUUCUUUAUUUUUGUAAUUAUGAAAUUAAUUAGCGUUACAUAUUUUAUUACUUAAUGAAGUGACUCUUGAACCUCCAUAACUUGAGGACAUGAAUCUUCAUUUUUGUAACCAUUACAACCUUUUAUGAGUUUUAUGAAACUUAAAUGUGACAUUUCAUAUAACUUGAGGACAAGUUACAAAAACACAUUUUAGAAUCAACACUUAGAUUAAAAUGGAUAGAAAACACAUAAUCAAUUAACUUUUCUAUUAAUCUAAGCAACUCAUAAGAACAAGAUAAUUCAAAACAAACUUUUUCAUGUAAUUAGUCUAAACCUUAAACUAAUACAAAACAUGAAUCUAUUGACAAUUAUCUUUGAAAUUGGAUUAGCAUGAACAUUACCACAUCAAAAACAAGUUUAUAAGUUCAAAAACAUCUUAGGGUAAUGUUCCUAGUCCAAUUCCAGCCAAAACAAUCGAAUAUAUGUUGUCUGGGGGUCCAACUCGGCGAGUCGGAUGCAUUUUUGUCUUGGACUCAACGAGUCCAUCAGUGGACUCGGCGAGUCUGCUGAGCAGACAGCAUAAAAACUUCUUUUUUCAGCCAAUUUUGCAAGUAUAACAAGAAAACAAGCCUUGGCUCUGAUGCUACUGUUGGGUUUUGAGCAUUCUAACACUCCUAAGUGUACAUGCAACCCUAAAUACCUUGGAUCUAUGUUUUCUCUAUUAUACAUGCAAAUAAGAACUUCCAAGGUAUUAUCCUAAUCUAGCAUACAAAACAAUGAAUAUCACAAGAUAGAAUACAUACCUCUUUGAUGUAGAAUGUCUUUGUGAAGCUUGAGUGCCUAGUUCCCCAAGUGUGACACCUCAAAUGCUUCACGCAACACCAAAUACACUUGGAAUAACUUGAGAAAACAUACACACACUAGUGGUAUCGGCUAGACCUUUCUUUCUUUCCAUUGUGGCCGAUUUUUCCCAAAGAAUAUGAUCUUAUAUUGUUGUUACAAUUAGGGUAAACCCUAAUUGUCAUGACUUUCCAUUUCCUUGGAUCCAUGGGUUCAAAUACACCAUGGAGCAUCCAUGGACCAUCCUAUGGGUUUUAGCCCAACUUGAUUAUCCAUGGAGCAUUAGCCCACUAUACAAGUAUGGAUGAUUUACACAAUCAACCCAUAUAUUUAAUUAGUCUUCUUUUGAUCACUUAAUUAAUCCUAGAUUAAUUCUUGAUCAAUACUAAUUAAAUAAUCUUAUUAUUCUUAUUAUUAAUAUACUAGAACUUAUAAUAUAUUAAUAACCAUAAGUGUCUUAUUUCUCUCAUUAUAGUCUAUCCAAGUGCAUGAUGGUAUGCAACCCAAAUGGACCAUGCCGGGUCGGGUCAAGUCUUACCAAUUAUAGUUAUGGACUUAGACAUUAAUCCAACAGUCUCCCACUUGGAUAAGUCUAAAACUAUUAUUGCGUAUGACUUCAGGAACCAACUGGCAAUCGUAGCUCUCAAAAGCUUCUGUCGAACUCUGACCUUGUAGAUGAACUCUGACCUUUGUCAGUGACUUGUCCAUUAGAUAAGGGAUCAUAUAUUCCUCCAUUCUAGAUAUCAUAUGGACUGAGACAUGGAUUAUAAUCAUUCUCUCUGUCCAUUUGUUGUUUCCCGAUUUCCGAUUUAUGAUGACUGACUAAUUGAACAAAUCAAAUCAGUCCUGGCCCGGCCGAGCACUUCCAUUUGUCAUCAUCAAAUCAUCGAGGGGCCCACAGAUAUCGCUUUUAUCCUGAAGGUAAAAGGAAUGGAUAAACUUCGACUCAUAUGGCUUGUUCUACUACUUGUUAAAUCAUACACAAAGGCAUGUUUUAUAACAUCGAGUUACCAAUGCGUUUUCAUGAAAUCAAUGUAUAACCAACUCAUAAUAACAACUCAUAUCUCUAGGUUUGAAGAAUAUAAGAUAUUAUCGUCUCAUGAUCACUCGUGAUAAAAUCCAUGAACUGAUUCAAAUGAGCGUGGGUUGAAUCCAAUACUCAGAAUUUAUGAGCACUCAUGAAUGUUGUAGCACCUCUUGGCUAUGUCCACUACCUCAGAUAUCUACAAACCCGAUUCAUGACAGUCUUGAUUCAUAUCUACUUCCAACAUAUGACCGACUGUGGAUAGUUUCAAUAACUUAGUCAUUCGAGAAGAACGACCUAGUUAUUAUGGAAGUCAAAACAUGCAAAGUGAAACACAAGAAUAAUCGAAUCCAAUAUGGUCUCAUCACUUAUGAAUAUAAAUAAAACACCUUUUAUUUAUCACCAUACGAUUACACAUUAUUCGUUGUAUACUGUUUCAGCUAUCAACUUUAUACUUGAAUUAAAACACUAGUUGUCCCAUGCUCCAAGCAUGUAUACUAUGUUUUCUAAACACUAGUCAUGCCACACACCAAGUAUGCAUACUAGGUUUGUCUAUGAUCUUUACUUUGUGAAAUAUAUCAAUUGAACAUAAAUCCAAUGAUUCUCAUUCCACAGUCCCAAAUCCUUACCGUAAAUGUAAGAAUUCCAAAUUCCUACAUCUUACCAAAAACUGCUAGAUUUUAAGCUUAUAUGCAUUGAUCCUCUUGUAGUGAUUAUACACGAAGUCACAAAGACUUGUCAACAAACAUUAUAGAUUAUUCCAAUGGAGAUCAACUCCGUGGAAACAUGCAUUAAGUAUUCUAAUCUUACAUAGAUUGAAUAAUUUCCAACUUUGAAACAUUUCCCUAUUCCAUUUUGACUAUCACUUCUAAAUAAGAGUUCAGAAUAUGUCAAUAUGGUCCUUCAAAAAUUAACACUAUAGUUCCAACUGUCCUUGAGCAACCGAUCUUUGGUAAACCUUAGAUUGUCCUCAACAAUUGCUUAAUCCUUUUAGUCAUAUCCAAUUCUAGACCUUUUCCUUUUUCAAUGCCCCAAGCAUUUGGAAAUUUUUAGAAAUGAUGAAUAUAGCACAUGUAAUCGAUCCUAUAUCCGAAGCAUAUGGGACAUGAUUCAUCAUGUCUCACAUAAAGACUAAACCAAUCUUUUUCUAUAAUAUUUCCAUUUCUAUUUGCCAAGUCCUCAUAAUUCAGAUUAUGAAAAGGGAUGUCGUAAUCAUAAUCGAAUUUUAGAACGCAAAUAAUGAACCAAUAUAUAGAAUUUCGUUAUGUUGAGCCAUUCAACCACAAAAAUUCAAAUAUAUAUCCUUGGCUAAUGUCGACUAAAACCUCAGUCUAAGCUUUUAGAAUUGAAAUGAAGUAUAUCCUUGACUAAAGUCGAUUAAAACCUCAAUCUAAGCUUUUAGAAUUGAACUGAAGUAUAAUCUCCUAUCCCUUAAUUAUAGCAAAACAACUUUUCAAGCCAUGUACUUUUGUUUUUCUAUAAUUAACAUUGCUAACUUGCAAUACUUAUCAUAAUUAUCAUGCUCCCACUAACAUGAUGAUUAUUAGCAUCACACUUAUGCUCCCACUAGCUUUGACAUGUACUCAGAAAUCAGCUGGACUUCUAGAAAAACAAUACUUUAUUGAAUUUCUUAACAAAGUUCAGAUUUCUGAUACUAGGUUGCUUUGAUAAAACUUUAUCAGUAUCAUACACCUUAUCUUAGAUAGCUCAUAAGUGUGUCUAAAGAAUUUAAGGACUUUGAAAAGGGAUGCCGUAAUCAUAGUCUCAUUUGUUUAGACCUUUGCCACUUCUCACAAAUCCAGGUUAGUGUGUCGGUUAACCACACAUGCUCCACUAACGACUUUGAGAAUGCAAAUAUCACAGUUGCUAUCUAGUUAAAAUCUACUUAGUGAAAGUGUUUCCUAACCAUCAUUUUCAUGAAUCGGAGAGAAACCUUAUGACAAUUAGAUUUUAUGGUGUAUGUGUUCUUAUCCAUGUGGAUUUGUCAAAACCAUAAUCACAAGACAAGGUUAGUGACAAAUCCAAACUCUUAUGGAUUUAACCUGUACAUUCUUAACUUCGUGCCACCUGGCAGCUGAAGGGCCUGUCAUUGCUUCCUAGUUGUUAUGCAACCAAUUGAGAACUCUAAGAACUCAUAUGCAUAGCCAACUUUAACUGAAAUGAGCACCAAAAUAGAAAUAUGUCAACACGAUAGGUUAUAAACCUCAAGUCGUGUGCUAGUGAAGAACUUCAGGUUUUAUUCUUGAUUAGUUCUUGAGACUUUAAGACUCCCACUGUCCUCUUGACAUAUAAGACUUUCUUGUCAGAUAUUCAAGAGAUAGUGUGGAUUCUAAUCAAGACAAACACUUCACACAAUUGGCCUUAGUUGGUCUUUGUUUUAUCCAAAACAUCAUAGCUUACCAAUUUCAAAUGUACAAGAGUAGAAAACUUUUACUCUUACAUUUGACAAGUGUUUUAAACCUUCUUUAAGACAUGUCACUCAAAUGACAAUCUUGGAGUAUGACUCUAAGACUUGUAUUGGAACGAAGUAUGACUCAUCUUCUUGAUUUAACCAUUUCAACAAUUCAAGUUCCUCUUCUUAGUCAUAAGAAUGCACUAAGAUUUCCUUAGAGAACUAACUUUGAUAUGGUUUCUUAAUCAUUAAGAUGAUCACAGAAAUGAUACUAAAGUACUCUCCCAUCUUUUCAUAUUUGAGAAACUUUUAUCCUUCUACCUAAUUUGAUUAUUCUUAUUCGCUCUGCCAUACAUUGGAACCUUUUCCAAUGUCUCAGAGUUACACUUAAGCUUGUAAGUAUAAUCAUAUUUACUGAGCUUUAGUAAACUAUGACGAAUAGUCUUAUCAAUCUUUUGUGGUGGACUUGACCAGUGCACAAGACUGUGUACUCGAUCCCUUAGUCCAUUACUUGACUCACACAUCCAUGUGAAUAAGUAAUUAGUCUUAAUUUUCCAAAACUGGAAAGUUCUCAUUCAUCAUGCUAUACAACUUGCAUGAUUCC